UCAACUGCUUAAUUAAAACAAAACAUUGCGAUGGCCCCUACGGAUACUCACGCAAUGUGACUUCUGCCCAGUGCUCUGAAUGUCAAAGUGAUGAAAUUCAACCAAGCGCGGGUAAACAGCGGGAGUAAAUAUGACUCUCUUAAGGUAGCCAAAUGCCUCGUCAUCUAAUUAGUGACAUGCAUGAAUGGAUUAACGAG
Non-coding RNA from Gossypium hirsutum (cotton), 197 nucleotides. The record is from Rfam. Lineage: Eukaryota; Viridiplantae; Streptophyta; Magnoliopsida; Malvales; Malvaceae.